This is a long non-coding RNA of Fukomys damarensis (Damara mole-rat), 2028 nucleotides long. Lineage: Eukaryota; Metazoa; Chordata; Mammalia; Rodentia; Bathyergidae. The record is from Ensembl.
UGCACUCUCAAUGUGGGCUUCUGCGGCUUCUGCUUAAUGAGCUGAUGAGAAGAAUGCUGGACUAGAAAUUAGGAUCCUGGUUUCACUAUGGACUCUGCCCUAUGCUCCCCUCAUAAAGCUGUUUGAUGUUGGUUAAGCCACUUCACUUCUCCAACCAAAGCCUGAUACCAGGCAGAACCUCCAGCAGUGAAAGGACACCAUCUACAGCUCCUUUGCAGUUGCUUGAGGUUGAGGCGCCCUCUCCUGGCCACAAGGGCACAUGGCUGGCUGUGAGUCGGCUCCCUUUCCGCAGAGGAGAGAAGGCAAGUAGUGUUCCUUUGUCUGGGCUGAGACCUGAGCUCUAGGGCACCUGAACCACCUUCCUGGGGCUGGAGAAGGGAAGAGCACAUCUCUUCAUCUUCUCCUAGGUUUCUCCCCUCUAUGGGAGGGAGAAUCCUCCCCACCUAUGUCAUUCCUCUUCCUCUCUCAUUGUCCUUUUCUUUUUUCUUUGUCUUUUCAUCUUUCUCCAGUUCUUGACUCUGCCUCUUACGCAGACGCACACUUUCGCACAUAGCUUUCGAUCCCCCUCUCUUACCUUCUUCACCAAUUUCCUAUCUUCUUCCCCUGCUCAGCCUCCCUCUUCUCCCCGCAUCUCUUCAAUUCUUCCUUUCUCCUCUUCCCUGGAGCACAGGGGAAGUGUUUUGUAUUCAGACCCGCACUUAAAUCCAGUGUUCUCCAUUGGGACGACCUUGAUCAAGUCGCUUGGUGCUCCGACGCCUUGAAUAAUCGCGAGGAUUGAGUGAGGUGAGCUGCCGUGCCUGCCUCAGCUCUGACCGUGGCAGGAGCACAGCUGUCCCUUCUUCCCCAUCUCCCUUUCGGCCCCAACUAUUCUUCCUCUUCAUUUGUUUUCAGGGCUCCCUCCCCUUUCUCCUUCCCUGUCCUCUUUCCCCUCUCUGCACACCACGGUUGAGAUUCAUAUUCAAACACUGCUUCCUGGGAUUUUUUGAAAAAUGGGGACUUGACCUUCACCUUGAAAGAACUGCCUUUCAGGGCUCAUUGUCUCUCUGUUCUGCCUCCCCAGGAAGAGCGGAGGCUCCUUGUCUGAGUGUCUCGUAAGAGGCUGUGAGCUGAGCUAAGGGACAGCUAGAGGGUGUUUGUAAGUCAAGGGGUGUCUGUUCCCAGAGUAUCUUACAGGAAGAAAGAAACAGUGAGAAAGAAAUCGUGUCCCAAGGCACCCAUGACAUGCUGAUGUGUGUGUCCGUGGGCCGGUUAUUUUAAUUUGCUUGUUCAUUUAUUUAUCGUUUGCAGUAAAUUACAACAGAAUCUCAUGCCACAAUAAAGCAAAGCAAAGCAUUUCAGAUCACUGAGCUCUUAAGAAACCAUCUCACCCGGGGACCUGUGCUGGGAGCCCAGAGGCAGUGACCUUUGGCCUCGAGAGCAUUUCUUCAGCAGAUGCUAGCACAAAUGCCAUGUGGCUGCCUCUCACAGUGUCCCCUGAUGAAAGCCAAGGGCAUAAUCCUAAAACGCAGUCCAACCAUGCAGCUGAGAUCUAGCUGGAAGUUACGGUUAAGCAGGCAAGGGCAGACUUUGUCUUCUCACUCUCUGGGGAGACUAUCACAUCUCAAAACUCAGCUGUAGGAAGCCACACCAACCAGGCAGCAGAGGCUCAGGCAAGGCCUGGGACUGUGGGGAUUUGAAUAGGUGUGGUUCAGAGCCCAAGCUCUGAAAUCAGACAGGUCUGAUUUCAAUUCCAAGUCCCAUGUGUGACCUUGAACCACUUACUUUACGUUGCUGGACUUUAGACUCUGAUGGCUUGGGAAGUACAAACAUCCCAAGGCUUUUGUGAGGACUUGAUGAGCUAAUGUAAGAACUUUACAUGCUGACCAUGCCCAGGAAGACUUGGUAGCUGCAAUUACACAUGACAGUUCUGUGUGAUCACUUCCUGGGGAUCACAGUAAGUCUAGGGUCUGCUGAGUAGGCAAUUGGGAGGCCAUCCAGACACUAGAACGAAGAGAUGUGCACAGCCAGCUGGUCACUUCGAAAGCACAG